AACGAACGCUGGCGGCGUGGAUAAGACAUGCAAGUCGAACGAUCACUAUUGGGUAGCAAUAUUCGGUAGUGGGAGUGGCGCAAGGGUGCGUAACACGUGGGUAAUUUGCCGUAAAGUCUGGGAUAACUUGCUGAAAGGCGAGCUAAUACCGGAUGUGAUUGCUGGAGGGCAUCCUCUGGCACUUAAAGUCGGGGACCGUAAGGCCUGACACUUUUCGAUAAGCCCGCGGCCUAUCAGCUAGUUGGUGAGGUAACGGCUCACCAAGGCUAAGACGGGUAGCUGGUCUGAGAGGACGACCAGCCUCACUGGAACUGAGACACGGUCCAGACACCUACGGGUGGCAGCAGUCGAGAAUUUUUCUCAAUGGGGGAACCCUGAAGGAGCGACGCCGCGUGGGGGAUGAAUGGCUUCGGCCCGUAAACCCCUGUCAUUUGCGAUCAAACCUUACGACCUAACACGUCGUGAGCUGAUAGUAGCGGAAGAGGAAGGGACGGCUAACUCUGUGCCAGCAGCCG
Molecule: ribosomal RNA, 515 nt
Filed under: uncultured bacterium
Lineage: Bacteria
Description: bacterial SSU rRNA
Rfam family: Bacterial small subunit ribosomal RNA
Source: RNAcentral